GGCCAAGCUACUAAGGGCAAUCGGUGGAUGCCUUGGCGUUAAGAGGCGAUGAAAGACGUGGUAAGCUGCGAAAAGCUUCGGGGAGUUGCUAAACAAACUUUGAACCGAAGAUUUCUGAAUGAGAAAACUCAAUCUGGGUAAUGCCAGAUUAUCCAAUGCUGAAUACAUAGGCAUUGGAAGCUAACGAGGUGAACUGAAACAUCUAAGUAACCUCAGGAAAAGAAAACAAUAGUUAUUUCCAAAGUAGCGGCGAGCGAAAUGGAAACAGCCCAAACCAAAUAUGUGCCAAGCCCAUAUGUUUUGCAUAUUUGGGGUUGUGGGAAUUAUUUUGAUAAGUAUAUGGACUUAUCGGGAAGUUAUAAAUCUGAUUUUGAGUCGAAUAGCACUGGAAAGGCUAACCAAAGAAGGUGACAGUCCUGUAGAUAAAUAAAUCAGACUUCCUUAAUAAUCUCCCAAGUACCACGGGACACGAGAAACCCUGUGGGAAUCCAGGAGGACCAUCUCCUAAGGCUAAAUACUCCUUAACGACCGAUAGUGAACCAGUACCGUAAGGGAAAGGUGAAAAGUACUCCGGCGAGGAGAGUGAAAUAGUACCUGAAACCGUUUGCCUACAAGCCGUAGGAGGACUAUGAAACUUACUUUGGGUUAUCCCAAAUUAUUUUCAGUCUAACUGCGUGCCUUUUGCAUAAUGAGUCAGCGAGUUACUUUGUGUAGCAAGGUUAAACCGUCAGGUGAAGCCGUAGCGAAAGCAAGUCUUAAUAGGGCGUUUAGUUACAUAAAGUAGACCCGAAGCCAAGUGAUCUAUCCAUGGCCAGAGUGAAGCGCCAGUAAAAUGGUGUGGAGGCUCGAACUAUUGUGGGUUGAAAACCGCUUAGAUGAGCUGUGGAUAGGGGUGAAAGGCCAAUCAAACUUGGAAAUAGCUGGUUCUCCUCGAAAUAUAUUUAGGUAUAGCCUCGCAUUAAAGUUACGGGGGUAGAGCACUGGAUGGGCUAGGGGUCCCACCAGAUUACCAAACCUAACCAAACUCCGAAUACCGUUAACUUGAUGUGCGGGAGUCAGACUAUGGGAGCUAAGUUCCAUGGUCGAAAGGGAAACAGCCCAGAUCAACAGCUAAGGUCCCAAAAUGUAUGCUAAGUGGGAAAGGAUGUGGAAAUGCACAGACAACCAGGAGGUUGGCUUAGAAGCAGCCAUCCUUUAAAGAAAGCGUAAUAGCUCACUGGUCAAGUGGGUCUGCGCCUAAAAUGUAUCGGGGCUAAGCAUACUACCGAAGCUUUGAGAUUCUAUUUUGAAUCGGUAGAGGAGCAUUCUGUUUUGAGUGAAUGUCAAUUGUAAGAAUGGCUGGACAAAACAGAAGAGACCAUGCUGACAUGAGUAGCGAUAAAGCGGGUGAAAAACCCGCUCGCCGAAAACCUAAGGUUUCCUGAGUAAAGCUAAUCUGCUCAGGGUUAGUCGAUCCCUAAGCCGAGGCCGAAAGGCGUAGGCGAUGGAAAACAGGUUAAUAUUCCUGUACCACCGUGUUAUCAAUGUCUAUUUAGGCGAGAGUGAUUGGGGGGACGCAGAAGGGUAGAUCAUCCAUCUGUUGGAUGGUGGUUCAAGCAUGUAGGUGGAAAUUACAGGUAAAUCCGUAAUUUCAUUACACUGAGAUGUGACGAGGAGAGAUUUAAUCUCACAAACUGAUUGAUCCCAUACUGCCAAGAAAAUCCUCUAGCGAGAUAACAAGGUGAUCGUACCGUAAACCGACACAGGUAGGUAAGGAGAGAAUCCUAAGGCGCUUGAGAUAACCCUGGUUAAGGAACUCGGCAAAAUCACACCGUAACCUCGGGAUAAGGUGUGCCUCUAUUAAGUGAAACAAUUUACUUGUGAAGCUGAAAGAGGCCGCAGAGAAAUGGCGGUAGCGACUGUUUACUAAAAACAUAGGACUCUGCUAAAUCGUAAGAUGAUGUAUAGAGUCUGACGCCUGCCCGGUGCUGGAAGGUUAAGGGGAUUUGUUAUCCUUCGGGAGAAGCUUUGAACCGAAGCCCCAGUAAACGGCGGCCGUAACUAUAACGGUCCUAAGGUAGCGAAAUUCCUUGUCGGGUAAGUUCCGACCUGCACGAAAGGCGUAACGACUUCCGCACUGUCUCAACCAGGGACUCAGCGAAAUUGUAAUGGCGGUGAAGAUACCGUCUACCCGCGAAAAGACGGAAAGACCCCGGCACCUUUACUACAACUUGACAUUGGAUUUUGGAAUAUUAUGUGUAGGAUAGGUGGGAGACUUUGAAACCAGGGCGCUAGCAAUGGUGGAGUCACCCUUGAAAUACCACCCUUGAUAUUUUAGAAUUCUAAUUUCUACCCUUUAUCAGGGUAAAAGACAGUGUCUGGUGGGUAGUUUGACUGGGGCGGUCGCCUCCCAAAAGGUAACGGAGGCGCGCGAAGGUUCCCUCAGGCUGAUUGGAAACCAGCCGUAGAGUGUAAAGGCAUAAGGGAGCUUGACUGCGAGAGAGACAUUUCGAGCAGGUACGAAAGUAGGUCUUAGUGAUCCGGCGGCUCUGUAUGGAAAGGCCGUCGCUCAACGGAUAAAAGGUACGCCGGGGAUAACAGGCUUAUCGCCCCCAAGAGUUCACAUCGACGGGGCGGUUUGGCACCUCGAUGUCGGCUCAUCACAUCCUGGGGCUGAAGCAGGUCCCAAGGGUUCGGCUGUUCGCCGAUUAAAGUGGUACGUGAGCUGGGUUUAAAACGUCGUGAGACAGUUUGGUCCCUAUCUUUCGUGGGCGCAGGAUAUUUGAGAGGAGCUGUUCCUAGUACGAGAGGACCGGAAUGGACAAACCUCUGGUGUUCCAGUUGUCAUGCCAAUGGCAUUGCUGGGUAGCUAAGUUUGGAAUGGAUAACCGCUGAAAGCAUCUAAGCGGGAAGCCAACCUCAAGAUUAGAUAUCCCUCUUAUAUUGCAAAAUAUAGGACUGAAGACCGCUUGAAGACUACAAGCUUGAUAGGCUGAAAGUGUAAGUUCAGUAAUGGAUUUAGCUUAUCAGUACUAAUUGGUCGUGAGGCUUGGCCAC
Molecule: ribosomal RNA, 3036 nt
Filed under: Candidatus Magnetoglobus multicellularis str. Araruama
Lineage: Bacteria; Pseudomonadati; Thermodesulfobacteriota; Desulfobacteria; Desulfobacterales; Desulfobacteraceae
Description: Bacterial large subunit ribosomal RNA
Rfam family: Bacterial large subunit ribosomal RNA
Source: Rfam by way of RNAcentral